CCUACGGGAGGCAGCAGUGAGGAAUAUUGGUCAAUGGGCGCGAGCCUGAACCAGCCAAGUAGCGUGAAGGAUGAAUGCCCUACGGGUUGUAAACUUCUUUUAUAGAGGAAUAAAGUGAGGCACGUGUGCCUUUCUGUAUGUACUUUAUGAAUAAGGAUCGGCUAACUCCGUGCCAGCAGCCGCGGUAAUACGGAGGAUCCGAGCGUUAUCCGGAUUUAUUGGGUUUAAAGGGAGCGUAGAUGGGUUGUUAAGUCAGUUGUGAAAGUUUGGGGCUCAACCGGAGAAUGGCAAUUGAUACUGGCAGCCUUGAGUACAGUUGAGGUAGGCGGAAUGCGUGGUGUAGCGGUGAAAUGCUUAGAUAUCACGCAGAACUCCGAUUGCGAAGGCAGCCUACUAAACUGCCACUGACGUUGAGGCACGAAAGUGUGGGGAUCAAACAGGAUUAGAUACCCGAGUAGUC
RNAcentral lists this ribosomal RNA (460 nucleotides) under uncultured bacterium. RNAcentral's name for it is "partial 16S ribosomal RNA". It matches the Rfam family "Bacterial small subunit ribosomal RNA", at positions 338 to 795 of the family's 1533-position model. The record is from RNAcentral.